Oreochromis niloticus (Nile tilapia) is the source of this 2013-nucleotide long non-coding RNA. RefSeq lists it as uncharacterized. The record is from RefSeq and is a predicted model, not a curated record. Lineage: Eukaryota; Metazoa; Chordata; Actinopteri; Cichliformes; Cichlidae. The transcript is spliced from 3 exons.
GUCCCUCAUGCUGUGUGGAUCUCCUGGUGUCUCCCUGUUGACAAAAUAUACAGUAUAUGUGCUAGCUGAGAUGGGAAUCUGAGUGAAAGACCAAGAGGCUACGAAGAGCAUCUAUCCUCUGCUUUGCAAAUGUCAAGGCUGUUGCAUGGCUUCGGGUCAGACGGGAUCUGCAGAAAUGAUGGGUUGCUGCUGCUGGAGUCUGGUUGGGUGUUGGCGCAGUCUCUAAAAUGUCAUGUGGUGCCAAAGGACAAGAUAUGAGGUUAAGUGGUCACCCAAGAGGUCUAACCACAGGAGGACAGUGCUUUAGAGGUUCAAGUCUCAAGAUUGCAUUAUGUGACAGUGUCCUCUCAUGAAGAGAACUUGAGAAGAAUCGGAGACAUAAAAGUAUAUGGGUCUAGGUAUACAGACCACCUUAAAAUCAGUAUACAAAAUGCAUAUACAUACAUUUUAUUUUAAUUAGGGGUGCCAACUGCAAAAAUGACUUGUGAAUUAAGCAAUAUAUAUCCCAGCAUGUUAUAUUCUAUUUAUUUUCCAUCUUAGUUCAAUUUCACCUUAUUUCUAACUCAUUUUGGUUCCAAUAAUUGUGCAUACAUAGUGUGACAUAUGCAUCUAUUAUACAUGCUUCUAGAUGAGGCAAGGCUCGUGUACAGUAAUGAAGUGGUGCCCUUUUUUAAACUGUAUUACUGUCUCUGAAAAUGAGAAUGUACCUGCUGAUAUAAGGUAAAGAUUAAAGGUAAGGCAGCUGUUAUGUUUGCUAAAAGAGAGACAGUACAGUAUCUGCAUGUGUGUGCAUGUGUCUGCAGUGCAUCGCGCAAGCGUAAGUGAGAGUGUUUAUGAGCGUGGGGCUGUAACUGAGGAACAGACAGUGAUUGCAGCAGGGCUCAGGGGGAUACUGAGAUGGAGAAGGGCUUACAGCAUUCCCAUUUAAUGCCUAUCUGACAGGACCUUCAUUUAGCCGGAGUGUUUUGCUCCCCUGUGGGUGCCAUGUGUAAGGUCAACACAGUCCCUUUUUACAUGAGUUGCCCUCUGUGUGCCUCUCUUUCCUGCCUCGAGUGGCUGGCAGACACACACAGCGAGCAUUACGAAUGACUGUUUCUGAAAAAGAACCUGAAUAAACAAAUACUAAAAUAUCUAGUUUUACUAAAAUUCAUCAUGCCUGUUAAAAGAUAUUAGAAGUGGGAAAAAAAAUGUAUGUUUGGAACCAUUACAAUACUAAGCCAUGAACCAUAGUCCAACAUUUUUUUAUUUGAAAAUCACGCUCAUGUACGUGACCUUGGGGUUCUUACAUGUUUGAGACAUGUGUGCGUAUCAAUUUUACGCUUUGCAGGCAAUUCAAUAACAGGCAUCACCUUGACAGUCAGGUCCCAUACGCCUAGUCUCGCUCUCCUUCAUGCUCUGCAUGUAAUGCGGUGGUUCAAUUUUGCACUAUUACGACAGAGAUUUUCAGAACAGAAGGAGACUUUCAGUUAGGAAGGAUACAUGAUGUUUUGUGUCAGGGUAACAUUUUGAAUUUAGGCAAUUAAAGUAUUAGGUAGCUAUAUGUUUAUCAUAUUAUUUUCUUUCCAGGAAAGUAGUGAUCUGUCUGCUUCAUGUAGUUGUCAUUGUUAGCACGGGGAGUCAAUGCAAGCUCUAUUAAAUUACUGUUAAUGAUAACUGAUUUCUCACUGCUAGAAUUUCACACUAAAAACAUUUGGCAUGAUAAAAAUGUGAAGAAUGGUCACACACGGGAUUUUUUUUUUUCGCUAACCUUAGUGAUGAAGAUCUUUCACAAAACAGGGUUUUAAAACUGUCUUCACUGCAUUUUUUUCUGUCACUUUUCUUUGGACAGAUAAUUAGUUUUAAAUAUUUGCAAGGGGUAAUGAAAAAGGAAGAGCUGCUGCCUCUGUUAGAUAAAGCGCAGCACACUCAAUCCCUCAAGAAAGAAGUAACUCCUCAAGUCACAUCAAGCAUGAAAUCAUGUACUUGUUACUAUGUUAAUUGUUUUUUGAAUAACUGCUUUAUUAAAAUUAUGUG